GAUGAACGCUGGCGGCGUGCUUAACACAUGCAAGUCGAACGGAAAGGCCCAAGCUUGCUUGGGUACUCGAGUGGCGAACGGGUGAGUAACACGUGGGUGAUCUGCCCUGCACUUCGGGAUAAGCCUGGGAAACUGGGUCUAAUACCGGAUAGGACGAUGGUUUGGAUGCCAUUGUGGAAAGUUUUUUCGGUGUGGGAUGAGCUCGCGGCCUAUCAGCUUGUUGGUGGGGUAAUGGCCUACCAAGGCGUCGACGGGUAGCCGGCCUGAGAGGGUGUACGGCCACAUUGGGACUGAGAUACGGCCCAGACUCCUACGGGAGGCAGCAGUGGGGAAUAUUGCACAAUGGGCGCAAGCCUGAUGCAGCGACGCCGCGUGGGGGAUGACGGCCUUCGGGUUGUGAACUCCUUUCGCUAGGGACGAAGCGUUUUUGUGACGGUACCUGGAGAAGAAGCACCGGCUAACUACGUG
Molecule: ribosomal RNA, 468 nt
Filed under: uncultured bacterium
Lineage: Bacteria
Description: partial 16S ribosomal RNA
Rfam family: Bacterial small subunit ribosomal RNA
Source: RNAcentral